Molecule: ribosomal RNA, 348 nt
Filed under: Triticum aestivum (bread wheat)
Lineage: Eukaryota; Viridiplantae; Streptophyta; Magnoliopsida; Poales; Poaceae
Description: partial small subunit ribosomal RNA
Source: RNAcentral
AUGAUGUUUAUACCGUUAGCUCAGUUAUUGACUUAUUGUACAAGUUCAGUUGCUACUAUCGGCAAACUGUUGCCUGUAAGUUAUAAAGAAUUGACUGGGGGCAAAAUGUUGUUACUUCUGGUGCGAGUUUAUUUUGUCCAAGCCUCCCAUCUUGAUGGGAUAUCUUGCAAUAGUGAUGUUUACUUUUGGAGAAAGAAGAUGUCAAUUUUUUUCUAUAUAAUCAUUGACAUACACAUAAAGGCGCAUUCAGAAUGCAUGAAAUUCACCUGGAGAAGGUCAAUUCUCCUCACAGAACCUGCGAAACCUUUCAGCAUUCCAAAUAUGGCCUUAAUUGCCAUGCUGUAUUAA